GGGCCCGCACAAGCGGUGGAGUAUGUGGUUUAAUUCGACGCAACGCGAAGAACCUUACCAGGGCUUGACAUUGAGUGAAAUGUUAAGAGAUUAGCACCUCUCCUUCGGGAGACACGAAAACAGGUGGUGCAUGGCUGUCGUCAGCUCGUGUCGUGAGAUGUUGGGUUAAGUCCCGCAACGAGCGCAACCCUUAUCCUUUGUUGCCAGCGAGUAAUGUCGGGAACUCAAAGGAGACUGCCGUCGACAAGACGGAGGAAGGCGGGGAUGACGUCAAGUCAUCAUGCCCCUUAUGUCCUGGGCUACACACGUACUACAAUGGGCUUUAAUAGAGGGAAGCAAAGUCGCGAGGCCAAGCAAAUCCCAAAAACAAGCUCUCAGUUCGGAUCGCAGGCUGCAACUCGCCUGCGUGAAGUCGGAAUCGCUAGUAAUCGCAGGUCAGCAUACUGCGGUGAAUACGUUCCCGGGCCUUGUACACACCGCCCGUCACACCACGAGAGUUGGAAACACCCGAAGCCGGUGAGGUAACCGCAAGGAGCCAGCCGUCGAAGGUGGGGCCGAUGAUUGGGGUGAAGUCGUAACAAGGUAGCCGUAUCGGAAGGUGCGGCU
This 606-nucleotide ribosomal RNA is filed under the name uncultured bacterium. RNAcentral describes it as "bacterial SSU rRNA". It matches the Rfam family "Bacterial small subunit ribosomal RNA", at positions 917 to 1519 of the family's 1533-position model. The record is from RNAcentral.